This 779-nucleotide ribosomal RNA is filed under the name uncultured organism. RNAcentral describes it as "bacterial SSU rRNA". It matches the Rfam family "Bacterial small subunit ribosomal RNA", at positions 558 to 1327 of the family's 1533-position model. The record is from RNAcentral.
GCUUAAAGAGCACGUAGGCGGACAGUCAAGCGUCUUGUGAAAUCCCUCGGCUUAACCGAGGAACUGCUUGGCGAACUGGCUGUCUUGAGGCAAGUAAGGGCGCGUGGAACUCUUGGUGGAGCGGUGGAAUGCGUAGAUAUCAAGAGGAACGCCGGAGGUGAAGACGGCGCGCUGGGCUUGUCCUGACGCUGAGGUGCGAAAGCCAGGGGAGCGAACGGGAUUAGAUACCCCGGUAGUCCUGGCCCUAAACGAUGUCCACUAGGUCGAUGGUUCUCUGACGGAUUGUCGGCCGAAACCAAAGCGUUAAGUGGACCGCCUGGGGAGUACGGUCGCAAGGCUAAAACUCAAAGGAAUUGACGGGGACUCACACAAGCGGUGGAGCAUGUUGCUUAAUUCGAUGCAACGCGAAGAACCUUAUCCUGGGCUUGACAUGUAUGGAUGCCUACCUGGAAACAGGAUCGGUUGCCCUUCGGGGUGAAACGUACACAGGUGCUGCAUGGCUGUCGUCAGCUCGUGUCGUGAGAUGUUGGGUUAAGUCCCGUAACGAGCGAAACCCUUGUCGCUAGUUGCCAGCGGGUAAUGCCGGGGACUCUAGCGAGACUGCCUGUGUCAAACCGGGGGAAGGUGGGGAUGACGUCAAGUCCUCAUGGCCUUUAUGCCCAGGGCUGCAAACGUGCUACAAUGGCCGAGACAAAACGACGCAAGACCGCGAGGUGGAGCUAAUCGGAAAAAAUCGGUCUCAGUUCGGAUUGGAGUCUGCAACUCGACUCCAUGAAGUU